This 406-nucleotide ribosomal RNA is filed under the name uncultured bacterium. Its description in RNAcentral is "partial 16S ribosomal RNA". It matches the Rfam family "Bacterial small subunit ribosomal RNA", at positions 30 to 526 of the family's 1533-position model. The record is from RNAcentral.
AUUGAACGCUGGCGGCAGGCCUAACACAUGCAAGUCGAACGAGCGGCGGACGGGUGAGUAAUGUCUGGGGAACUGCCCGAUGGAGGGGGAUAACUACUGGAAACGGUAGCUAAUACCGCAUACUAUCGGAUGAACCCAGAUGGGAUUAGCUAGUAGGUGGUGUAACGGCUCACCUAGGCGACGAUCCCUAGCUGGUCUGAGAGGAUGACCAGCCACACUGGAACUGAGACACGGUCCAGACUCCUACGGGAGGCAGCAGUGGGGAAUAUUGCACAAUGGGCGCAAGCCUGAUGCAGCCAUGCCGCGUGUAUGAAGAAGGCCUUAGGGUUGUAAAGUACUUUCAGCGGGGAGGCGUUACCCGCAGAAGAAGCACCGGCUAACUCCGUGCCAGCCGCCGCGGUAAUUC